AAUCCCUAACAGUCUGGAUCUCGGUUUCCUCAUCCGCAGGUGACUGCCGAGGAAGGUUCCAUCUGGCUUUAACAGUUUAUAUUUGAUAUUUCCAGUUCCCAUAACCUGAAGGGAAUUGGCCCACUGGGAACAGCUAUAUCACAUCCCUCUCCUCACAAACUCCAGGACCCACGGGCCCAAAUUCUGGGAGAUGCUGAUGUCCUGGAAAUAGGUGGGGAGAGGGUUCAACGCCCUCCUCUUUAUCAAACCCAGUCGCCGCUGCACGGGCCAGUCGCUACCGACGCCGCGCACCGCGAUUCCGGAAGUACCCUCCACACCGCCACCCCCUGCCCCGGGUUUAGAUGCUCCGGGGCUGAGGGCCCACUCGGCGUCCCGGACGCCUUCGGGAGGCGGAGGGCCGGGCAGUAGGAGUACAGAGCAGAGGGGCAGGGGGCUUGUCUUCCUGGGGGAAAGCUGGAGAGACCCGGAGAGGUGCUGGGGACCCGCCUGGCAAGGGAGAGCGCGUGGGGCAAGGCGGGAGGAGGGCAGCCCUCCCCGUUCCUGAGCCCCUAGAUUGGCCGGCGCCCGGGGUCCGAGGCCCGCGAUCCUGGGCUCCCAGACCAGGAACGAGGGGCGUGUCCGGGAGCGGAGGCGACUCGGCCCGGCACCCAGUGAGCGGCUGCCGCCCGUCACUCCCCAGCAGCCCCGGGCCCCAAACCCUCAGCCCCGUCCCGGAGCGAGCACUGCAAAGACAAAACAAACUCGUGCCAGCUUCCUGUUGUGCAACCCCGUCCUGAGUAAGUCAGAGCUGAAGAGUGCUGCCGCUGGCCCUCCGCUGGGAAGCCCGGGCGGCCGGCACCAGCAGACUUCCCGGCCCGGCCAAAGCCGGAAUCCGCAAGGGGCCGUGUUCCCGCUCGCGGCUCCAGGGAGCGCCCGGCCCCGCCGCGCCAGUAUCUUGACCCCAGCGUGGGAGGCCGGGAAGAUGCGGGUCACCGGACCGUCCCAAGACGAGUUAGCGUACCCCCAACCCAAAGACCUCCUGGAGCAAUGGGGAAAUCGUCUUGAGCAAUAUACACAAGCGUGGAAAACAGCCUUCGUGGAACUCCACAAACACGUGGAACUGGAAAAGACAACUACAGCCCCGUGUGCGUGAAAGACCUCACGUCACCCCAUCAAUUACCACUUUUCUAAAGUGUCCCUUCAGUGAGGACUCAUGGGCGGCAUGCACGACCGUGCCCCUGCGUCCUGUAACUGGCCCUGCUUAUGUAGCCCUCUGCCCCCUGUAGUUUAAAAGA
Molecule: long non-coding RNA, 1274 nt
Organism: Phyllostomus discolor (pale spear-nosed bat)
Lineage: Eukaryota; Metazoa; Chordata; Mammalia; Chiroptera; Phyllostomidae
Exons: 2
Source: RefSeq, a predicted model, not a curated record